Molecule: long non-coding RNA, 2606 nt
Organism: Neodiprion virginianus
Lineage: Eukaryota; Metazoa; Arthropoda; Insecta; Hymenoptera; Diprionidae
Exons: 3
Source: RefSeq, a predicted model, not a curated record
UGAUGAUGAUUAUGAUGAUGAUGAUGAUGAUGAUGAUGAUGAUGAUGAUGAUGAUGAUGAUGAUAGUUAUAAUAAUGGUGAUACGACCGCACGAAAAGGACGACGAUAUCACAUUUACGGUUGUUAUAAAAUAUACACGUAAUGUAUCCUAGUCUUGAGAAUAAUACAAGGAACGAGAUACACGGGUAUUGUUCUGAUUUAAAUAUUCGAUAUUGCAGUGCGUUUGUAAAAGUAUGUUUCUUUUUUUUUUUCAUCCUAUCGUUGUCAAAUGAAUUUUGCAUUGUUUUUGGAGGAUUGCAAGUGCAGAAGGACCCAAUCCAAUGAAAGAAUGGGAAAAACUGUUCGUAAAGAAAGAAAAAACAAAGAUAGAACGAAAGAAAAAAAAAAAAUAGAGACGGAGAGAGAGAAAGAGAGAGAGAGAGAGAUGGCGUUUUUUAUUUUAAUAAUUUUUUUCCAGUAUUAUCUAGUCUCGCGAAAGUUUCGGGAACGCGAAAGGAACGAAUACAGUUGGUGUUCUUUUUUCCUUUUAUCAUAUUUACAUGUAUAAUUGUAUAUGCAACGAACAUUUCACACGCUAAAACGUUUCGCGAAUAUACAUAAAUAUAUAUUAUAGUAGUAGUAGACGUAGGUGCAAGUGUCGAAAAUCCAUUUCAAUUAUCUGACGUGUAUUACGGUACUGUCUACGCAUCGGGAGAGAUGGAAGACGAAGAGUGGUUCCUAAUUUAAAUUUGAGAAAAUUUUGCCAACGGUAAAAAGAAAAGAAAAAAACGAAAGCAAAAUAUACUUUCGCCAUGUAUACUUGUCGUUGAUCACGUAUACAGAUAUCGUAUCGAUAUUGUAGAGAAUUGGAAAGGAUUUAGAUUAUUUUCAUCUUAUAGUUUAGAUCUACAAUGUGUGUUGUGUGCAAGAAACGAAAGUAUACGUACAUACAUGUGAAUUUUUUGUAAAAUUUCACUUUCACGUGCAAUUGUAAUCACGCAAAGUCACGAGGCACUCUUUUCACGAUACCUGUUUGAAAUUUAAUCGAAGUACUACACAUACUCAAAUUCGACAUUAUUAAUUGUAAAACGAAUGGAUAAUUUGAAAAAACUUGUACAGCAAUGGUAAUAAUGAUAACAAUGCUGAAGAAACAACGGUGUUCUUACAAUGAACCGAAAGUGAAAUCAUACUCCACGCGCAGGUCAAGUCGAUUGAUGUAUACUCCUAGAAGUAAAUAAUACUGGAAAUACAUAGGUCGUCAUAUAUAUAUAUAUAUAUAUAUAUAUAUAUAUAUUGGUAGAUAGUAUCCAAUGAAUGAAACAAAUUUAUAAAGGUUCGAUAUUUCUAGGUCGUUUCUUUUUUAUUUUUCUUAUCCCGAGAAUACAUCGUUACUGCACCUUUGCCUGACUCUCAUUAAAUUUUCAAACAAAUCUUCCGUCUACCUUUACGAUUUUUUGAAGAUUAAUCGGACAUUUUUAUUUCCCCCUUUAGUCAUAAAAUUCUAUUCCCUAACCGUCUUAGUCUCUCCCUCGCCUUGGCUCCUUGCACAGAUAACAACAAGACAUCGUUUUCGAAUGCUGGUCAAUAAAUGGACAGUAAAUAACACAUGCAUAAUAUGAUAUGACAUACGUAAUCGCAGUGGAGAAUUAACGAAACUAGAAGAGGGACUCGCCUGUGCCGAAUAGCGUGCAUGCGAUUUGCUCUUCUCUCUUUCACUUCGCUUAUUGUUGUUGUUAUUCUUAUUAUUAUUCUUAUUAUUAUUAUUAUUAAACUAUAAAAUCUCGAUCAUUGAACAUUAUAUGCGUUGUUUCUCUGUACCUCGUUGACUUGUAAAAAGAAUCGAUUUUUUUUUUUUUUUUGUCGAUACGUCUCACGCGCACGCCAGUGAGACAUUAUUACUGCACAUAUGUGUAUGUAUAUGUAUAUGUAUAUCUUCCUCGUGUAUCGCCUUGCGAAAAAGCGUCGUGUAUUUACUAUUUUUGAAUAGGCAGAAACUCAAAAAAAAAAAAGGAAAAAAUAAAAUAAAAAGAAAAAAAGAACACCUUCAUACUUCACGUAAAGACUUACCUGUACACGCUCUGUAAAUGUCUCUUGUAAAUACACCUAGGUAGGCAUUACGGUAUUUGAAAAAUUGAAAAUUGUAAUUAUUAUUAUUGAUAUCUAUUAUUAUCGCUGUACUGCUACUACCACUACUACUAUUACCACUCUACUACUCCUACUACCAUUACUGCUAUUAUUAUUAUUAUUAUUAUUAAUAUAGUUAUUAUCGCUAUUGUCAUUGAUAUAAUUAUUAUUACUGUAAUCGUUAUUAUUAUAAUUAUAAUUGUAACUAUUAUUAAUUAUUACUAUUAAUUAUUAUUAUUAUUAUUAUUAUUAUUAUUAUUAUUAUUAUUAUUACUACUAAUAUGAAUAACAUGAGACCAACAUAAACCAUAAAACAUUAAACUGUUUUUGAUACUUCUUUUUCAAAAUAUUCCAUCAUCCUUUAUUCUACAUACAUCCUGUUCUGCCGAAGGAGUCGCAACCUACACACGCACCUGCAAUGCUAAAGAAAAGCGCUCCUGAGUUGUCUGUGCAGAGCUAUCCAAAAUAAUAAUCGGAAAAUUCAGCGAGCAUUGCUGCGUGGG